Alnus glutinosa is the source of this 744-nucleotide long non-coding RNA. RefSeq lists it as uncharacterized. The record is from RefSeq and is a predicted model, not a curated record. NCBI's taxonomy places the organism in Eukaryota, Viridiplantae, Streptophyta, Magnoliopsida, Fagales, Betulaceae. The transcript is spliced from 2 exons.
UCACUAUGAGAACCAAGUGAAGUUUAGGAAUGGUUAGUUAGAAAUCUAAGUGCUGGUUAGAAGGAGAUAAGAGAUAUAUAAGAGUUUGAAAUGAUGGUUUUCUAUCCUCUUGCUGCCCACCGAACACUUGUGUAAUCCCCAACCUUUGAUCAAUGGUGACUCAAACCGAUCUUGGCCUCUCAAUAGUGUAUAAAUAUAGGUGCAGCUCCCCUCUUCAAUUUCACGCAUUUCUCUCUCGGUUUCUCUCCUUCUUCUUCCCUGCUUUGUAGUGCAGCAGCUCCCUCUGCUCUUCUCUUUUGUUCUCUCCUCUGGACAGCAAACUAAUGCUACUCUUGGGGAAGACAAUUGGAAGAAAAGAAGAAGCAAAAUCCCUCUCCGUUUCAGUUUUACAGUAGCAAAACAAAGAAAAUCAGAACCCAGUCUCUUCUCUUCUCAGUUUCUGUCACGGCAAAGAACUCUCUCUCUCCCCUGCUGUUCUUCACGUUUUGCAGAGGAUCCUCACGUGGUAUGGGAUUGCGGUGUUAACCACAACCACAUACGAGUUUUUGCAGGAUGGAAGGAACGAUACAACUAAUAGCAUUUAUGUUUAAGGCUAAGACUUUUAAUAUGUAAUAUUUGAUAUGUAGGAUAAAACAAUGGUUACUUAUUAAGUGCCGCAUGUAGCAUAUAUGUUAGUGCUUUGAGUGUAUUUAUGGUAUUAGAACUUAUGGUUCAUGUUUUAAUAUAAUGAGGUAAUUCAGUCAA